GACGAACGCUGGCGGCGUGCUUAACACAUGCAAGUCGAACGGAAAGGCCCCUUUGGGGGUACUCGAGUGGCGAACGGGUGAGUAACACGUGAGUAACCUGCCCUUGACUUCGGGAUAACUUCAGGAAACUGGGGCUAAUACCGGAUAGGAAUCCUUGCUGCAUGGUGGGGGUUGGAAAGCUUCGGCGGUUUUGGAUGGACUCGCGGCUUAUCAGCUUGUUGGUGGGGUAGUGGCUUACCAAGGCUUUGACGGGUAGCCGGCCUGAGAGGGCGACCGGCCAUAUUGGGACUGAGAUACGGCCCAGACUCCUACGGGAGGCAGCAGUGGGGAAUAUUGCACAAUGGGCGGAAGCCUGAUGCAGCAACGCCGCGUGCGGGAUGACGGCCUUCGGGUUGUAAACCGCUUUCAGCAGGGGCGAAGCUUGUGGUGACGGUACCUGCAGAAGAAGCACCGGCUAACUACGUG
Molecule: ribosomal RNA, 465 nt
Filed under: uncultured bacterium
Lineage: Bacteria
Description: partial 16S ribosomal RNA
Rfam family: Bacterial small subunit ribosomal RNA
Source: RNAcentral